Non-coding RNA from Podarcis lilfordi (Lilford's wall lizard), 5273 nucleotides. The record is from the annotation of a GenBank genome assembly. Lineage: Eukaryota; Metazoa; Chordata; Lepidosauria; Squamata; Lacertidae.
GCCUAUAUGCAUGGGUUUUUACUGACACCGCCAAGGCUGCAGGUUUGAUACCUGUAUGGACCUAUUGCAUAUUCCUGCAUUGCAGGGAGUUGGACCAGAUGAUCUUCACGGUCCCUUCCAACUCUUUGAUCCUAUGAGACAUCAACCUUUGCAAACAAUGAAGGCUGCUGAACAAGGUAUGAAAUAGGGAGGGAUUCCUCUCGGGUGAAACAGAGGUAAGCACUGUCAGUUUCCCAAUUGCAGCUUUGUGACAACCUCACUGACCAGGAAAGCCUUUUCACAUUGCAUAAUGCCUCUUUUAAUGUUAGAAUGUGAGGGUGCCGCCUCAGAAACUGCUCUCAUCUCCCAAAAGAAACUUAUCACUCUUUCAAUAGCGAAUGAAGUUUAGGGCAUACAGAGCGACCUGGUGGUCACUCCAUAUUUCUUACCUGCCACAGAAGAACAAAGUCACUGGGAUUCUCAGGAACAACUGCCAGGUAAGCCAUUAUCUAAGUUCAGUAAGUAAACCCUUGUUAGGUCUGACAAAUAUAUGCCCAUUGUCCUGCCUCUAGCAGCCUUAGAAUAAAUGCAAUUUCAUACAUAUUUGAAACAGGGCAGCUGUUAGACAUUCAGAACUGAAAAUGUUAAUUCUGGACAUUUUGUUAAAAUUCAAUCUGGAAAUAGUUCUAGAAAUGCUAAAUCUUGUACUGCAGUGUUUUUUUCUUUCGUAACUUACAGUACUUUAUCAGUUUCGGAAAAUACAUUUCUUAUGUAGGUUAUUAUUAUUAUUAUUAUUAUUAUUAUUAUUAUUAUUGAUUUUCCAGUAUCAUUCCAAUAGCAGCCUCAUUAUAACAAUACCAAUUUUAUCCAAUUAAUACAGUUAUUAAUACCAAUUAUUCAAAUGUCAAAUUAUACAAUUUAAUUAAACUGGCCCUCUCACAUGCUAGAUAUGAUGGCUUCAUUCUUCUACAUUUUUUCUGCGUUCCAAAAUUUUAAUAAUUUCCAUUCCAUUCCUUUCAGAUAUAAUAAUUCCUUAUUUAACAGCUACAGUUGUGAUUUCUAUUUGCGAUGGUAUAUUAGGUAAUUUAUAAAAUUUCAAGUGAAGAAUUCUAACUGUAAUCCUUAUUCUUUCCUGUGUGUAACAGUUUCCCCCCAUGUUGUUUUCCUGUUCAUAUAUGGUGUUGAAUCUUUUAUUCCUGCAACUGUUGAUGGUUUCCAUUGCACCCCGAGAGAAGCGGUUAUCCCAGUGUUUCCAAAAAUCACUGCAUCACUCCGCCCUGUGAUUCCAGCUUGCCAUUUUCCCCAGCCAGCCUAGGAAGAACAGUCUGAAUCCAGACUACAGAUAGUUAAUCCAGAAACUUCUAUUCCCGCAGCUGGUAGACUCCUUUCCUCCCUGCCACUGAUUUAUGGCCAAUUGUCCUUAUCUCAAACACAUUCCUUUGUGGAUAAUGGAGGUUAGGGAGAACUUUGCUCCAUAUUUUCAAAGCAUAGCAUUGCCCUCCCCUUCCCUAUCAGUUCCUUUCUCUCAUACACACAGUUCCAGUUUUGUUAAAGUCCAUAUUUAUAUUCCAGUUUCUCCCAUCCUCGCUUGUAUAGAUAUUUUAUUAAUAAAACUUGCAUUCCGGGGAGGGUUGCCGUAUCAUAAAUGUAGAGAAAAACUUUAAAUAAGCAAACUGUGGGCUCCCCUCCCCCCAUCCUCUCUUUCAACGAAUGGAAUCCACUCUCAUUCCAAACCUUUUAGUUCCUUGUAGUUGAGUUGUUUUCUCUGUUUCUCAUCUCAUCUCUGGCAUGCACCUGUAGUUUAUUCCAUUUAGAAACCAAAUAGCAGGAUAACCUGUGCUUCCACAAACAGGAUUGGGGUUGGGGAGGGUCGCAGCAGCCGGAGUGCUUCGUGCACCCAGUGUCUUUACCUGCCCUUGCAUUCCAUGGGGAAGUGACUGCCAGGCAAACUGCGGGUGAGAGCCUGGUCCCUCUUCCAACCGAAGAGGAAUACAACUCCCAUCAGUGCUUGCCAGAAUGGCCUGUGAUUAGGGAUGAUGGGAGUUGUAGUCGAAGAAGCUCUGAUAGAAAAGCAGUGGGCAACCUGUAGCCUAUGUUGUUAAAACAAACAAAUUCAGUUUUGUUCCAUUGGGAAUAUUGCAAAAUGAAAACAAUCUCAAUCUGGAUUAAAUAUGUUAAGACCCUUCACAAGACUCAACAAUGUCAGCUCAAAAAUGAUUGUUCUUUAAUGUAUCUGUUGCAUUGUUCUUUUACAGUUGUUGUUUUUUUAAUCUUAGCUAGUGAUUGGGGUAGGGUAUGAUUUUCUUUGUAUUUUAAUAAGAAACUACCCGAUUUGUACUUCUCAAAACAAUAUGUGAACCAAAGCACAGCUAUCCUUCGAAAUUUGGAUAUCUCUGAAUGUUGCAGUGUGCUGUUCUCCAGCCAAACAACGCAUGCAGAAAUUCAUUCAUUCUCAGUUGCUUGUCACCCAAAUGUCUCCAAGUGACUUACAGCAAAAAAAGAUAUACAGUACAUAAUACCUUGAGGGGGGAAUCACGUAAGACAUUAAUACAUUAAUAUUCCAUAUAAACAUGGAAUCCAUUUUUUAAAAAUACUCAAAUAAUGAACAAAGCAAUAACCAGACCCAUUACUUAACAGAUAAACAAAACCUCAACCUUCCUCUAAUCCAAAAACCAUUCACAUCAACCCAUCAAUCUUCCCUCUUUAACCUCCCCACUCCACCCAGAAGUCGGGUGUUGAGACCAGCUGUUGCAAAACAGUGGCGGGUGAGUCCGAUUUCCUCUAGAGACGGUCCAGUGUCUCUCCUCUCACUUCAGGGGGAAGCAGUAGCAAAGCAAAGGAGGAAGACGGUAACAAAAGUUUUACCUACAAAGAAUAUGCAAAGGGGUGGGGAAUUGCUUGCAAAAACGUACAUGUUAGAAUGUGCCAACAAAAAUGUGGUUCUUGUUGGCAGGAAUUUUCUUUGUACGUGAACUUUCCUGAGGGCUUAAAGAAAAACAAAAAUUGCUUUGGGAAUGUGGAGAACUGAAGAUCCGAGAAACGAGAAACAGAGAGAAACCAAAAGAGACAGCUUCAUCUGUCCCUAAUGCUGACAAAGUUUUUAAGCCAUUGCCUUUAAUUGUGGUUUUAUUAUGGUUGCGUGUGUGUUUUUUUUAUUGUCGUUACCAGUCACCUGCUGGUUCAGGUGACCAGCCUGCCUAGUCCAACAUCCUGCUCUCACAGUGGCCAAGAUGCUCAGGAAAAUCAUAGAGUUGAAAGAGACACCCCAGGGUCAUCUAGUCCAACCCCCUGCAAUGCAGGAAUUUCAGCAUGCAGUCCUUCAUGCAGCCCACAAGCUUCUCCCCGCUUGAGACCCACAGCAGCUGGCAUCCAGAGGCAUACUGUCUCCAACAGAGGCAAAUUUACAGAGUUAUUGUGGCUAGAGUCCGUGGACAGCCUUGUCCUCCAUGAAUUCACUUGGGAGGGAGGAAAUCCAACUCCUCUUUCAGCAAGCCUUCUAAGUGGAGAUUAUUAUUUUUGCCCCUGUCAGCAUCUGUACUGGAUUUGAAAUUGCUUCGAUAUACGCAAUAUUGUUAAAUAUGUCCGCUUGCGUGCAGGCAGGCAAUUAUAUACGUUCUUUUUGUAUUGUGUUGUUGCUUCAAAGGAAGUGAUUCAUCCAUGAAAAUGUUGAUGGGUUGCUUCCAACACAACACUAAGUUACAAGUCAGUUAGUAGUAUACAGUGGUACCUCGGGUUACAUAUGCUUCAGGUUACAGAUGCUUCAGGUUACAGACUCCGCUAACCCAGAAAUAGUACCUCGGGUUAAGAACUUUGCUUCAGGAUGAGAACAGAAAUCGUGUGGUGGCAGCGUGACAGCAGCAGGAGGCCCCAUUAGCUAAAGUGGUGCUUCAGGUUAAGAACAGUUUCAGGAAUAUUACUAACCUGAAACUGUUCUUAACCUGAAGCACCACUUUAGCUAAUGGGGCCUCCUGCUGCCGCCGCGCCGCCGGAGCCCGAUUUCUGUUCUUAUCCUGAAGAAUAUUACUGGCCCAAAAAUGGAAGCAAGAAGAAUUACCGACGGUUGAAGAAUGGAGAAUGAAGUUAAUGGACUAUGCAGAACUAGAUAAACUAACAGGAAGGAUUCAAAACCGGCGGGACCAGAAAUUCACGGAAGACUGGAGUAAAUUUACGGACUACUUGAAAAGUAUUUGUGAAGAUCAGACAACGUUUGUAGGUUUGCAAGAAGUUUUGUGAGGAGUAUUAUUGGAAGUAUUGCAAAAAUGGAGAAGGGGAAGGAUGAUUUGUUAAGAGAUGUAAAGGCAAUAUAAAGUUAAGAAGUGGUUACAACGGUGGAUCAUCAGAGGUGCUGAUGGAAGUCUAAAAAGAUUGUAUAAGUGAUAAGCUUUGUGGUACAUUUUAUAAUUUAUAUGUUAAAAUCAAGAGAGAGAGAGAGAGAGAGAGAGAGAGAGAGCGCAGUUUCAGGUUAAGAACGGACCUCCAGAAUGAAUUAAGUACAUAACCCGAGGUACCACUGUAUUUACUGCGCAGGUGGGGCAUUGCUGCAGAUGGGAAAACUCAGGGGCCCUAGCUCAGGAGUAGGACAUCUGCCCUGCAUGCAGAAGGGCAUGGAUUCACUCCCUGGCAUCUCCACAUAGGGCUGAAAGAGACCCCUGCCUUAAAUCCUUGUUUUCUGCCCUGAUUCAGCAGUGAAGAUCAGGUUUUCCUGCAGAAAGCGGUGGGGGAGGGGACCCAUUUGACACAGACCAGGAAAACUCAGACUUGUGCCUAGAUAGGAUGGGGCAAGGGGUAAGUGUGAAUUCUUCUUCUUCUUCUUUGGCGAUCACUCAUAGCCGAGUAAGAUUGUCUUCCAUAAACACGGUUUUAACAAUGAGUCUGUAAGUGACUGUGGAGGCCAAUUCUGGAUCCACACGUCCUUCCGCAGUGGGGACAUUGGUUUCCGGGCAGGAGUUGAUCACGAUGUGGAUUCCUCCCUGGAGGCAUUGCUAAGCUAGAGACACCAAUGGACUGACUCCGUGUAAGUCAGCUUGCUAAGUAUAGUAAGUACAUUACCAAAACUUGCCGCAUUACUUAUUUCACAGCUUGCACACGUGCAACUGUUUCGUUGGAUUGCUUUAUUACACCAGCUUGAAACUCUGCCAUCUGCUAAUGCAAGGGAUCAGAAGGCUGAUGCAGCCCAGUGUCACCAAGUCCUCAGGUUGUUCUCUAUCCCUUCUCCAUCAUCGCUACAAUGCAGCUGUGCUUCCACCCUCAGGUCAUCCCUUCUUGUAGUCUGAGGCGUCAAGCUUUGAGUGGGG